CUGGUCUUUGAUAUGUUGAAUUAUUUCUGGAUCAUCCCUAUAAUUCAACAAAUUAGCCAUCUUAGCUUUUGAUUGAAUCUUAACUUUCAACGCUAAUUCUCUUCCACGCAUGUCGNNNNNNNNNNNNNNNNNNNNNNNNNNNNNNNNUCAAGGUAAUUAAGCUGGGUAUUUGCGCGGAUCAAAUUCACCUUCCUGAAAUGAGAAACAUGUGUAUAUAAGAUAUUAAGAGCCUAACAAACAUCAUUGUAUCUAAUUGCAGGAGAUCUUCACGUCAUUUUCCAUAAAGUAGAUCUUCACGUCAUUUUCCGAUUGAUAUCUCAAUAAAGUCUUUAAACUUAGGCAUUGGGUAAGGAAUGUCAUGUUGAUUAACAUCAUCAACCCUAGUUGCUCCGUUCAACCUUAAUUCAGUACAAUAAAAUAAUCCAGACAUGUAAACUAAAAAAAAAUGAAAUUUUAGCGUUGAUGAUGCUACCAGAGAGUGAUGUUGGUCGUUUUCCCUUCCAUUUUCCCGUUAAUCUGAAAGGAAGAUAAGUAAAAAUGGAAGGAAAGUGAGUUAAAGACAGGACUAAAAGGAAGAAGAAAUGGAAAUUUAUCACAUUUUGUUGAAGGUUCAAGCCUUCUUCUCUCUUUCCUUUGAAUGCCAAUGACUAAAAGAAAUAUGUUUCCUCAUCUCAUUUUGCAUAUGCAAGUAAAAAUUCAAUUGUAGAUAUAUGACCAAAAUGUAGAUAUAAGAACUAAUUGUAGAUAUCUGAGCUAAUUGUGAUAGAAUAGCGUGCAUCGUCUAUGACACAUAAGAUUAUUACUAACCACACUGAUAAGUAGGAAAAUUAAGACAGAAUUUGACCUUCAACAAAGACAUAAUUGCAUCAACACUUUCCUUUGAUGAAGCUUAUAAUAUUAUAACCCUCUUUAACUUUAUUGCUUGUUGAAACUCCUCCUUCCUCAAUGAUUUUGCAGAUACAUACAUACACAAAAGAUUAAAAAAGAAAACAAAUUAAUUUGAUUUGGGAUUAUAAAAGAGAACUUCUUUUAGCACUAUAACUUGUGAAUGUGAAAGAAAACAAUCCCAAAUGAGUUUUAAGCAAGAAUACCUCAGACCCAACCACAUAGUAAAGCUCAAAAAUAAUCUUGAUGAUUCAAGGAAGGUUUCUCCAACACACCACUCACCUAUCCAAAAAAUGCAGCAAGUAUAUACUUCCUCUCCAUAAGAUCAUCCAUUUCAGGAUAUAGUUCAAAAGUAUAUGUACAUAACAAAAAAUAUAUAAUUUGUAAGGUUGAGUCUAAUAUAUGUAGGGCUAUACCAUAUUAUAAAAACAAAAGAAAAAUAAGGUUCAACACUCAGCUCAAAAGAUAAAUUAGAACUGCUCAAAAGAUAAAUUAACAUGCUAUAGAUCUAAAGCUACCAUUCAAUGUCUGCACUGAUAGCAGAACAAAAAAUACACAUACACUCUUUAUAGUAUCGUAUAUUUUAAGCAUUAAAGGUAUAAAAGAUGGAUUUUAUUGGAAGCUUUAAUGGUAUAAAAAUCAUACCUUUUACCUUUGACAAACGUGAUGAAAGAUUUUAAGCGUUUAAGGUUGAAAACAUAUAUUUGAAGUGUUAUGGCUAGAAAAAUAUGAUUUUAAUCGUCGUAAAACAUACCAAAAGAUGACAAAUCAGACCUUUUUAUCGUAAACGGUGACAAUGAAAGAUUGUAAGCGUGAAAACAUAGAUUUUAAGCGUUAAACCUAGAAAACACAGAUUUUAAUCGUCGUAAAACUUACGAAAAGAUUUAAAAUCAGACCUUUUUACCGUAAACGACGGCAAUGAAAGAUUGUAAGCGUGAAAACAUAGAUUUUAAUCCGGUGUCCAUAUCAGUGUCUAUACUUAUAAUCAAUAUAAGGACAUAACUAAACAUUAAAAGGUAACAUUUGAGUUAAAGAUGUAGGUAAGAAAAAUGGUAAAAUCAAUUUUGCAGAUUUUUUUUCCAAAGAUAGAAUGAAUGGUUAAGUAAAUAUACAAUUAAAAUGGUAAAAUAAAAUCAUCUUUUUGGACUGUCUUUUUGCACCAUAGCUUCUAAUGUUGAUGGAAAGCCACAACAACAUUUAAUCAAACACAUGGUGUGCAUAUAGAAAAUGAAAGUGAUGAGUAAAAUGAAUAAACAAAACAGAAAAAUAAAAUAAAUAAAGAAGAAGAACAACAACUAAAUUAUGUUUGAUAACCCUUUUCUAAAUUCUGAUUGAAAAAUUAAACAAUAAAAAAGAAAGAAAAAUCAAAUAUCUAGAAUGAACAUUUUGUCAAACACAUGGUGUGCAUGUAUAAAAUUGCAAUAAAACAACAUAAAGUUUACGAAAAUUCACAACAACAUUUUAUCAAACACAUGAUGUGCAAAUAUAAAACUGAAGUAGAACAACAAAAAAUUAAAAGAAUUAAAAGAGGAGUAAAUCCAACGCGGAAAAGAAACAAAACAAAUUAAUAAGAGAAAAUCAAAUACCCAUGUAGUUCUUCUUCUUCUUUCUCUCGUGUAGAACAAAGCUUUGAUUUCUUCAACACAAAAUAACGCACGAAAAAAUUGAAACAACAAAUCAUCAAACAAACUUAGUUUUAUAACAAAAAACAAACAAAAAUAAUGAAAAAAAUGAAGAAAUACUAGUGCAUACGAAAAUUUGAAAACGUAACCGCUUCGUACAUGGAUCUUUUUUCUACCGUCUCCCGCAGCCAUGUUUUCUUUCUCCAUAACAAAUCUGGCGAUGCAAGAGAUGAAGAAUGAGAAGUGAGAAGAAUGAGAAAAAAGAGAGAGAUGUUUACGGUAAAGAGAGAUAAGAGAUAGAUUUGAGUUUUUUU
This 2821-nucleotide long non-coding RNA is filed under the name Trifolium pratense (red clover). RNAcentral's name for it is "long non-coding RNA (TPRA_LNC007078)". The record is from RNAcentral. Lineage: Eukaryota; Viridiplantae; Streptophyta; Magnoliopsida; Fabales; Fabaceae.